RNAcentral lists this transfer RNA (74 nucleotides) under Staphylococcus aureus. Its description in RNAcentral is "tRNA-Pro". It matches the Rfam family "tRNA". Rfam says of the family: Transfer RNA (tRNA) molecules are approximately 80 nucleotides in length. Their secondary structure includes four short double-helical elements and three loops (D, anti-codon, and T loops). Lineage: Bacteria; Bacillati; Bacillota; Bacilli; Caryophanales; Staphylococcaceae. The record is from RNAcentral.
AUGGGGGCUUAGCUCAGCUUGGUAGAGCACUUGGUUUGGGACCAAGGGGUCGCAGGUUCGAAUCCUGUCUUCCC